Molecule: ribosomal RNA, 460 nt
Filed under: uncultured bacterium
Lineage: Bacteria
Description: partial 16S ribosomal RNA
Rfam family: Bacterial small subunit ribosomal RNA
Source: RNAcentral
CCUACGGGUGGCUGCAGUGAGGAAUAUUGGUCAAUGGGCGCAAGCCUGAACCAGCCAAGUCGCGUGAGGGAUGACGGUCCUAUGGAUUGUAAACCUCUUUUGUCGGGGAGCAAGGCCCGCCACGUGUGGCGGGAAGGAGAGUACCCGAAGAAAAAGCAUCGGCUAACUCCGUGCCAGCAGCCGCGGUAAUACGGAUGAUGCGAGCGUUAGCCGGAUUUAUUGGGGUUAAAGGGUGCGUAGGCGGAAGGUUAAGUCAGCGGUAAAAUGGCGGUGCUCAACACCGGCCUGCCGUUGAAACUGGUCGUCUUGAGUGAGCGAGAAGUAGGCGGAAUGCGUGGUGUAGCGGUGAAAUGCAUAGAUAUCACGCAGAACUCCGAUUGCGAAGGCAGCAUACCGGCGCUCAACUGACGCUGAGGCACGAAAGCGUGGGGAUCGAACAGGAUUAGAUACCCCGGUAGUC